Molecule: ribosomal RNA, 497 nt
Filed under: uncultured bacterium
Lineage: Bacteria
Description: partial 16S ribosomal RNA
Rfam family: Bacterial small subunit ribosomal RNA
Source: RNAcentral
GACGAACGCUGGCGGCGUGCCUAAUACAUGCAAGUAGAACACUGAAGAGAGGAGCUUGCUCUUCUUGGAUGAGUUGCGAACGGGUGAGUAACGCGUAGGUAACCUGCCUUGUAGCGGGGGAUAACUAUUGGAAACGAUAGCUAAUACCGCAUAACAAUGGAUGACACAUGUCAUUUAUUUGAAAGGGGCAAUUGCUCCACUACAAGAUGGACCUGCGUUGUAUUAGCUAGUAGGUGAGGUAAUGGCUCACCUAGGCGACGAUACAUAGCCGACCUGAGAGGGUGAUCGGCCACACUGGGACUGAGACACGGCCCAGACUCCUACGGGAGGCAGCAGUAGGGAAUCUUCGGCAAUAGGGGCAACCCUGACCGAGCAACGCCGCGUGAGCGAAGAAGGUUUUCGGAUCGUAAAGCUCUGUUGUAAGUCAAGAACGGGUGUGAGAGUGGAAAGUUCACACUGUGACGGUAGCUUACCAGAAAGGGACGGCUAACUACGUG